This 256-nucleotide ribosomal RNA is filed under the name uncultured bacterium. Its description in RNAcentral is "partial 16S ribosomal RNA". It matches the Rfam family "Bacterial small subunit ribosomal RNA", at positions 524 to 776 of the family's 1533-position model. The record is from RNAcentral.
UACGAAGGGGACUAGCGUUGCUCGGAAUCACUGGGCGUAAAGGGUGCGUAGGCGGGUCUUUAAGUCAGGGGUGAAAUCCUGGAGCUCAACUCCGGAACUGCCUUUGAUACUGAGGAUCUUGAGUUCGGGAGAGGUGAGUGGAACUGCGAGUGUAGAGGUGAAAUUCGUAGAUAUUCGCAAGAACACCAGUGGCGAAGGCGGCUCACUGGCCCGAAUACUGACGCUGAGGCACGAAAGCGUGGGGGAGCAAAACAGG